Molecule: ribosomal RNA, 468 nt
Filed under: uncultured bacterium
Lineage: Bacteria
Description: partial 16S ribosomal RNA
Rfam family: Bacterial small subunit ribosomal RNA
Source: RNAcentral
GACGAACGCUGGCGGCGUGCUUAACACAUGCAAGUCGAACGGACAGGCCCUGCUUUUGUGGGGUGCUCGAGUGGCGAACGGGUGAGUAACACGUGAGUAACCUGCCCUUGACUUUGGGAUAACUUCAGGAAACUGGGGCUAAUACCGGAUAGGAGCUCCUGCUGCAUGGUGGGGGUUGGAAAGUUUCGGCGGUUGGGGAUGGACUCGCGGCUUAUCAGCUUGUUGGUGGGGUAGUGGCUUACCAAGGCUUUGACGGGUAGCCGGCCUGAGAGGGUGACCGGCCACAUUGGGACUGAGAUAUGGCCCAGACUCCUACGGGAGGCAGCAGUGGGGAAUAUUGCACAAUGGGCGGAAGCCUGAUGCAGCAACGCCGCGUGCGGGAUGACGGCCUUCGGGUUGUAAACCGCUUUCGCCUGUGACGAAGCGUGAGUGACGGUAAUGGGUAAAGAAGCACCGGCUAACUACGUG